RNAcentral lists this ribosomal RNA (450 nucleotides) under uncultured bacterium. RNAcentral describes it as "partial 16S ribosomal RNA". It matches the Rfam family "Bacterial small subunit ribosomal RNA", at positions 354 to 796 of the family's 1533-position model. The record is from RNAcentral.
GUGGGGAAUAUUGGACAAUGGGCGAAAGCCUGAUCCAGCCAUGCCGCGUGUGUGAAGAAGGUCUUCGGAUUGUAAAGCACUUUAAGUUGGGAGGAAGGGCAGUAACCUAAUACGUUGCUACUUUGACGUUACCGACAGAAUAAGCACCGGCUAACUUCGUGCCAGCAGCCGCGGUAAUACGAAGGGUGCAAGCGUUAAUCGGAAUUACUGGGCGUAAAGCGCGCGUAGGUGGUUCAGUAAGUUGGAAGUGAAAUCCCCGGGCUCAACCUGGGAACUGCUUUCAAAACUGCUGAGCUAGAGUACGGUAGAGGGUGGUGGAAUUUCCUGUGUAGCGGUGAAAUGCGUAGAUAUAGGAAGGAACACCAGUGGCGAAGGCGACCACCUGGACUGAUACUGACACUGAGGUGCGAAAGCGUGGGGAGCAAACAGGAUUAGAAACCCUAGUAGUCC